Molecule: non-coding RNA, 1090 nt
Organism: Kogia breviceps (pygmy sperm whale)
Lineage: Eukaryota; Metazoa; Chordata; Mammalia; Artiodactyla; Physeteridae
Source: RefSeq, a predicted model, not a curated record
GUGUGUGGGUGUGGGUGUGGGUGGUGGAAGGUAGGAAGGAGUGGGAAGGAAACGGGAAUGUCCCAGCGUCCUGUGGGCCAGCUGCUUUCACGUGAUAGAGCUUAAUAGGAGAUCGAUUUCUUUCCUGAGCAGAGACAUAUUUACAUGGAAAAGGCUUAACAGAAGAUCCUGUUUGUUUGCAAUCAGUGUUGAUCACCUCGGUACAGAGGCCCUCGUUGCUUUGCCAAGGACAGGCUUAGGAAGUAUAAGAUGCUGUCCUGAUGGGCCUGCUUCCAGACGUGCUUCAAGUUCUCAAUGGCUUGUUUCCAUUUUGGGCAGGGGUUAGCCCACACCGGUGGCAAAUGCUUCAGCAAGGCUUUCCACCCCGGCAUGCUCUUGGCUGCCAGAUUUCUAGUUUCAUGCUAGUGAAGAGAUGCAGUGUGGGUGAGGGGGCCAGGGAAGUAGUUGCAGCAGAAGCUCCACUGAAGUAAGCCAGUCGCCGAUUUGCCCAGCAGUGUGGGCUUUUUGUACCUGCAAGCCCAGCGGGCUGUUGGCUUUGGUGAUAGGAUUUAGAGGGUGGGUGACAAGAGUUUGAGCUGUGGUAUGAACAGCGAUGGCAGUAAAGAGCCUGAGCUUCCUGCCUGUCUCCCCAGUUGGCCCUUCUUGUCCUACACAGAACCAGGGACCACAGGGGACAGAGACUAAGGACGACGAACUCCAGAGCCCAGAUGCCCUCGGUGUUUCUUCCACGUGGCACUGUUCUGUGGGAAGAGUACCCAGCCUAGCACAUACUGCACACGGACCACCGUGACACAUCAAGGUAGCUGACGAUGUCGCAGGCAUAUGGGCCCUCGGGGAGCUGAUCUACUGUUUCAACCCCGCUCUGCCUGCCGGCUGGUAGACACGUGAGUACAGUCUUCCUGCCUAAGGGCGUGGCUGGAUUCUUAGAAGAAGUGACGCGCUGGUAACCGGGUGCCAUCGGAUCUGAGCUCUUUGUCACACAAGUGCUAACGAACAGAAAAUGGGCCGCGACAGUUAAACACCUGAAUGGAUCGCACCGUGCUUUUCCCCUUGGCUUCCCAUAAGAAAUCAAAUGGAACACCUUGUGAGA